UACGAAGGGUGCAAGCGUUAAUCGGAAUUACUGGGCGUAAAGCGCGCGUAGGUGGUUCAGUAAGUUGAAUGUGAAAGCCCCGGGCUCAACCUGGGAACUGCAUCCAAAACUGCUGAGCUAGAGUAUGGUAGAGGGUAGUGGAAUUUCCUGUGUAGCGGUGAAAUGCGUAGAUAUAGGAAGGAACACCAGUGGCGAAGGCGACUACCUGGACUGAUACUGACACUGAGGUGCGAAAGCGUGGGGAGCAAACAGG
RNAcentral lists this ribosomal RNA (253 nucleotides) under uncultured bacterium. Its description in RNAcentral is "partial 16S ribosomal RNA". It matches the Rfam family "Bacterial small subunit ribosomal RNA", at positions 524 to 776 of the family's 1533-position model. The record is from RNAcentral.